This 468-nucleotide ribosomal RNA is filed under the name uncultured bacterium. Its description in RNAcentral is "partial 16S ribosomal RNA". It matches the Rfam family "Bacterial small subunit ribosomal RNA", at positions 28 to 507 of the family's 1533-position model. The record is from RNAcentral.
GACGAACGCUGGCGGCGUGCUUAACACAUGCAAGUCGAACGGAAAGGCCCUGCUUUUGUGGGGUGCUCGAGUGGCGAACGGGUGAGUAACACGUGAGUAACCUGCCCUUGACUUUGGGAUAACUUCAGGAAACUGGGGCUAAUAACGGAUAGGAGCACCUGCUGCAUGGUGGGGGUUGGAAAGUUUCGGCGGUUGGGGAUGGACUCGCGGCUUAUCAGCUUGUUGGUGGGGUAGUGGCUUACCAAGGCUUUGACGGGUAGCCGGCCUGAGAGGGUGACCGGCCACAUUGGGACUGAGAUACGGCGCAGACUGCUACGGGAGGCAGCAGUGGGGAAUAUUGCACAGUGGGCGGACGCCUGAUGCAGAAACGCCGCGUGCGGGAUGCCGGCCUUCUGGUUGUAAACCGCUUUCUCCUGUGCCGAAGCGUGCGUGACGGUACUGGGUCAAGAAGCACCGGCUAACUACGUG